UGGUUUGGAAACUCGUUAGCAUUACAAUAAAAUCACAAUAAACCUCAUUAUCUAUGUUGUUCAGGUUUAUGCAAAAUGUGGUCUUUCAUCGUCACGUGCGUAUUGUAUUUUUCUCAAGUCAACCAAUAGGAAUGUUCAAAAUGUCCUAUUGUUAAAGUCAUGGAUGGGCAAUUGGACAAAACCGUUGCUAUUGGCUGGUUGAGCAAAGAUACAAUACGCACGUGACGAUGAAAGACCACAUUUUUGCAUUACCCUGAACAAAAACAUAGAUAGUGAGGUUUAUUGUAAUGCUAAUGAGUUUCCAAACCAUCUCCUCUAUUAACUUUG
This 327-nucleotide long non-coding RNA is filed under the name Paramuricea clavata. Lineage: Eukaryota; Metazoa; Cnidaria; Anthozoa; Malacalcyonacea; Plexauridae. The record is from RNAcentral.